UGGGGUGUGGCUUACUGGUAGAGCACCUGCCUACCAUGCAUAAGGCCUUGGGUCCAAUCCCCAGCACCACAA
RNAcentral lists this transfer RNA (72 nucleotides) under Fukomys damarensis (Damara mole-rat). It matches the Rfam family "tRNA". From Rfam's summary of the family: Transfer RNA (tRNA) molecules are approximately 80 nucleotides in length. Their secondary structure includes four short double-helical elements and three loops (D, anti-codon, and T loops). Further hydrogen bonds mediate the characteristic L-shaped molecular structure. tRNAs have two regions of fundamental functional importance: the anti-codon, which is responsible for specific mRNA codon recognition, and the 3' end, to which the tRNAs corresponding amino acid is attached (by aminoacyl-tRNA synthetases). tRNAs cope with the degeneracy of the genetic code in two manners: having more than one tRNA (with a specific anti-codon) for a particular amino acid; and 'wobble' base-pairing, i.e. permitting non-standard base-pairing at the 3rd anti-codon position. The record is from Rfam by way of RNAcentral. Lineage: Eukaryota; Metazoa; Chordata; Mammalia; Rodentia; Bathyergidae.